AAGGGAAUUUUAAAAUUUAGCUGCUAACUAAAUAAAGAGCAAAUUUAUUGUUCAUCCCUUA
This 61-nucleotide transfer RNA is filed under the name Macropsis huangbana. RNAcentral describes it as "tRNA-Ser". The record is from RNAcentral. Lineage: Eukaryota; Metazoa; Arthropoda; Insecta; Hemiptera; Cicadellidae.